RNAcentral lists this ribosomal RNA (253 nucleotides) under uncultured bacterium. RNAcentral describes it as "partial 16S ribosomal RNA". It matches the Rfam family "Bacterial small subunit ribosomal RNA", at positions 524 to 776 of the family's 1533-position model. The record is from RNAcentral.
UACGUAGGGGGCAAGCGUUAUCCGGAUUUACUGGGUGUAAAGGGAGCGUAGACGGCAGCGCAAGUCUGGAGUGAAAUGCCGGGGCUCAACCCCGGAACUGCUUUGGAAACUGUGCAGCUAGAGUGCGGGAGAGGUAAGCGGAAUUCCUAGUGUAGCGGUGAAAUGCGUAGAUAUUAGGAGGAACACCAGUGGCGAAGGCGGCCUACUGGACGGUGACUGACGCUGAGGCUCGAAAGCGUGGGGAGCAAACAGG